This is a long non-coding RNA of Bradysia coprophila, 185 nucleotides long. The record is from RefSeq and is a predicted model, not a curated record. NCBI's taxonomy places the organism in Eukaryota, Metazoa, Arthropoda, Insecta, Diptera, Sciaridae.
UGACCAAAAUUGUUGAAAAAAAUUUCUUUUAUUCAACGAAGGGCGAACGAAACGUGUUACCGUUUACGAUUCGUGACGAAACGUUUUACCGUUUACAAUCAUAAUGCGGACGAACAACAGGACAAAACAAUGCUGAUUUCGGCGUAUCACGCCAUCAUCAGUGCACCUAUGCCGCAAGACUAUGU